This 444-nucleotide long non-coding RNA is filed under the name Pongo abelii (Sumatran orangutan). Its description in RNAcentral is "lincRNA". Lineage: Eukaryota; Metazoa; Chordata; Mammalia; Primates; Hominidae. The record is from RNAcentral.
CUCUGGCCCGAAUCGAUAUCCCACGUUAUCUGGCUGUCUGUAGUACAGAGUCACAAAGUCAAAGUCUUCCUUGGUGAGCCAGUUCAUGACGGUAUUGAUGUUCUCCCUCCGCUCUGUCUCAUUGCUGUUUGGAGACAGGGUUUCACCAUGUUGGCCAGGCUGGUCUCGAACUCCUGACCUCGUGAUCUGCCUGCUUGGCCUCCCAAAGUCCUGGGAUUACAGGCAUGAGCCACCGUACCCAGCCACUCUUGGUUAACUUAAUGGAAAUAUUUACAGAGAUUCUUUCUCUUCUGGGUUCUAGCGUCUUAUCUGUACCCUCUGCAGGGGAGUCAGUGAGCAGAAGGAAGCAAGUUGCCUGAGAUUCUUCAAAGCCCCAGCCCUUUCGGAGGUUAGGUUGUUAUUCUCAGAGCCUUUAUGAUGCAUAAUAAAGUCCUAGCUUGGACC